UACGUAGGUGGCGAGCGUUGUCCGGAUUUACUGGGCGUAAAGGGUGAGUAGGCGGUUAUAUAUGUCAGGUGUAAAAAGCUAUGGCUUAACCAUAGUAAGCACUUGAAACUGUAUGACUUGAGUGCAGGAGAGGUAAGCGGAAUUCCUAGUGUAGCGGUGAAAUGCGUAGAUAUUAGGAGGAACACCGGUGGCGAAGGCGGCUUACUGGACUGUAACUGACGCUGAGUCACGAAAGCGUGGGUAGCAAACAGGAUUAGAUACCCGCGUAGUCCCU
RNAcentral lists this ribosomal RNA (274 nucleotides) under uncultured prokaryote. RNAcentral describes it as "partial 16S ribosomal RNA". It matches the Rfam family "Bacterial small subunit ribosomal RNA", at positions 524 to 798 of the family's 1533-position model. The record is from RNAcentral.